GGCCCCAUCGUCUAGCGGCCUAGGACAUCGCCCUCUCACGGCGAAAACCGGGGUUCGAAUCCCCGUGGGGUCACCG
RNAcentral lists this transfer RNA (76 nucleotides) under Rubrobacter taiwanensis. RNAcentral describes it as "tRNA-Glu". It matches the Rfam family "tRNA". Rfam says of the family: Transfer RNA (tRNA) molecules are approximately 80 nucleotides in length. Their secondary structure includes four short double-helical elements and three loops (D, anti-codon, and T loops). Lineage: Bacteria; Bacillati; Actinomycetota; Rubrobacteria; Rubrobacterales; Rubrobacteraceae. The record is from RNAcentral.